This 60-nucleotide microRNA precursor is filed under the name Scyliorhinus torazame (cloudy catshark). RNAcentral's name for it is "Sto-Mir-208-P1_pre stem-loop". The record is from RNAcentral. Lineage: Eukaryota; Metazoa; Chordata; Chondrichthyes; Carcharhiniformes; Scyliorhinidae.
AGAUCUUUUGUUCUUUUUAAUAUUGAGUUACGAUAUGUUUAAGACGAACAGAAGAUUUUG